RNAcentral lists this RNase P RNA (357 nucleotides) under Candidatus Peregrinibacteria bacterium. RNAcentral's name for it is "RNase P RNA component class A". It matches the Rfam family "Bacterial RNase P class A". From Rfam's summary of the family: Ribonuclease P (RNase P) is a ubiquitous endoribonuclease, found in archaea, bacteria and eukarya as well as chloroplasts and mitochondria. The record is from RNAcentral. Lineage: Bacteria; Candidatus Peregrinibacteriota.
GUUUUUGCCCAGAGAGGCGCUUUGAUCUUUUUCAAAGAGGAAAGUCCGAGCAAGGAAUACAGCUUCAUGGCUAACGGCCAUCCGGUACAGCGUAAUCUGUAUUGAGGGAAAGUGCCGCAGAGACUAUACUAUCUCAUUUUUUGAGAGAAAGGUGAAAAGUCCAAAGGUGUAUUUAUGCUACUUUGGAACCCCAUCAGUGAUGAUGCGUGUGUUGGUAAACCCGAAGUCCUUGCAAGCAGGGUUGGACCUGAGCAAUCAGGACCCCUGUGCUAGACUUUGUGAGUAAUUGCAAAGGAAAGAUAGAUGUCUCUCACUCAUUUAUGAGAACAGAACUCGGCUUAUCGGGCAAAAACGUUU